RNAcentral lists this non-coding RNA (119 nucleotides) under Deltaproteobacteria bacterium. RNAcentral's name for it is "MoCo sequence". It matches the Rfam family "Molybdenum/Tungsten riboswitch aptamer (Moco RNA motif)". The record is from RNAcentral. Lineage: Bacteria; Pseudomonadati; Myxococcota; Myxococcia.
AAUAAAUUUGUUCUCCGAGCCUGCGAUCCUAAAGGGCAUCCCAGGGACGCGGGCCGAUAGGGUCGGGCGGGAAACGGCCCGGCCUCCCGGACUUGGAAAGGAGACCGAAGAUUUUUUCC